This 270-nucleotide unclassified non-coding RNA is filed under the name Hevea brasiliensis (rubber tree). The record is from RNAcentral. Lineage: Eukaryota; Viridiplantae; Streptophyta; Magnoliopsida; Malpighiales; Euphorbiaceae.
GGAAAUUUAAAGAUCUGUGCUGGAUGUUAUUUUUAACUUUGUGGGGUAAGGAGCUUUGUUGAGGAUGGCAUCUCUUAGGAUUACAAGUGUUGGCUUUGCCUGCUUGUGGCUAGCCUCUUAUAUGGCUAUAAGAGAGUAAGAAGUCGACGAGUUUUGCCAAGCUCCACUCUCUUAGAAUCACUGGUAAUCGAUUUAUGUUUAAACUACUUAAGACCCUGACUUUUAGUUGGAAGAGAAGUUUCUGUCUCUAUUUUGGGAAGUUCUCUCAUU